Molecule: ribosomal RNA, 300 nt
Filed under: uncultured Methanocaldococcus sp.
Lineage: Archaea; Methanobacteriati; Methanobacteriota; Methanococci; Methanococcales; Methanocaldococcaceae
Description: bacterial SSU rRNA
Rfam family: Bacterial small subunit ribosomal RNA
Source: RNAcentral
GCUAUAUACGUGCCAGCGGCAGAUGGAAUACGUGUGGCUAGAGCGUUUUCGGGAAUGAGUGGGCGGAAAAGUGGCUGCGACGUAUUGAUAAGUAGGAAGUGAAAGCCCACAGCUCAACUGUGGAAUGUCUUUGGAAACGGUCGAACUUGAGUGCAGUAGAUGUAAGUGGAAGUCCAUGUGUAGCGGUGGAAUGCGUAGAUAUAGGGAAGAACACCAGUGGCGAAGGCGGCUUACUGGACUGCAACUGACGUUGAGGCUCGAAAGUGUGGGUAGCAAACAGGAUUAGAUACCCGGGUAGUC